This is a non-coding RNA of Danio rerio (zebrafish), 788 nucleotides long. Lineage: Eukaryota; Metazoa; Chordata; Actinopteri; Cypriniformes; Danionidae. The record is from RefSeq and is a predicted model, not a curated record.
ACACGCACUUUUCAGAAGUCACGUCAGUCUGGAAAGAGGAGCUCGACCCACCUGAUGAUCCUUGGCUCAAUCCGCUCCACUUUAUUCACCGCAUUAAUCUACCUCUGACAGCAAACCCAUAUUUUAGAGUAUUUUAAAAGAGUGGCGCGGUCACUGUCAAGCCUAAAUUGCACUAUCAUUUUUAUUAUUAUUUGUUUUUGCACUUGAGCGUUUCGUGAGGAUGCAUACCACGCAAAAGGACACCACUUACACCAAGAUAUUUGUCGGCGGUCUUCCGUAUCAUACGACGGAUUCCAGCCUGAGGAAAUAUUUUGAAGUGUUUGGGGAGAUUGAAGAAGCUGUGGUGAUUACCGACAGACAGACUGGAAAGUCCAGGGGUUAUGGAUUUGUGACGAUGGCGGAUCGCUCGGCUGCAGACAGAGCCUGUAAAGACCCAAACCCCAUCAUCGACGGCAGGAAGGCUAAUGUUAACCUGGCUUAUCUCGGAGCCAAGCCACGGGUCAUGCAGCCAGGUUUUACCUUCGGUGUCCCUCAGAUUCACCCUGCUUUCAUCCAGAGACCAUAUGGGCUCGAUUCGGGUUAAGAUAACUGGUGGUUUGAGGAAUAGCUGUGCGAGCUUUAGCUACAGUACCUGUAGACUCAAACACACACAAACGAGCUCGAAAAAUGGAUCCCCACUCACUACGUGUACCCACAGGCCUUCAUGCAACCAAGUGUGGUUAUUCCUCACAUCCAGCCAACAGCAACCUCCGCCACUGCAUCUUCACCAUACAUCGACUACACCGGCG